UACGGGGGGGGCAAGCGUUGUUCGGAAUUACUGGGCGUAAAGGGCUCGUAGGCGGCCAUGUAGGUCCGUUGUGAAAACUCGAGGCUCAACCUCGAGACGCCGAUGGAAACCAUGUGGCUAGAGUCCGGAAGAGGAGAGUGGAAUUCCUGGUGUAGCGGUGAAAUGCGCAGAUAUCAGGAAGAACACCCGUGGCUAAGGCGGCUCUCUAGUACGGUACUGACGCUGAGACGCGAAAGCGUGGGGAGCGAACAGG
This 253-nucleotide ribosomal RNA is filed under the name uncultured bacterium. RNAcentral's name for it is "partial 16S ribosomal RNA". It matches the Rfam family "Bacterial small subunit ribosomal RNA", at positions 524 to 776 of the family's 1533-position model. The record is from RNAcentral.